This 1329-nucleotide long non-coding RNA is filed under the name Fukomys damarensis (Damara mole-rat). RNAcentral describes it as "lncRNA (ENSFDAG00000022843.1)". The record is from RNAcentral. Lineage: Eukaryota; Metazoa; Chordata; Mammalia; Rodentia; Bathyergidae.
AUGCCGGAAAAUGGUUUCCACAGACGUGAACGAAUCCCGCACACCGCGUGUACCCACAACACCACCGCCGCGGCGGACUGCUCCGGAAAGCUGUCCUUUUCCUCAGCCGGAGCUGUUAACCCCAACACCACACGACAAGAAACUGCCAUGGCAGAGUUGUGUGAUGCAGCGGCCACAGCGCGAGACGAAAUCAUCUGCCAGCCAGUUCCCGGGCCGUCUUCUACACACACCGGUCUCUGUCAAAUAAAAACAGGGCGAUGUGUCCUCACCCACCUCGGUUCCUGGGUCUGGCACUGUGCAACUUCCGGUCCUUCCGCAAAGACAAAAUGACCACGAAGGAGAACUAUCUUGGAUCAGUUCCCAACACCGAGGCAGCCGUGACAGCGCAAGGAGAGGCGCUCAAGCAAGACGACUGGCAGAAAGGGCCGAGAACAAUGGGGUACGAGUGUCCGAAGUGAGGGACAGUAUUCCGAGGGGGUUCAUGACAGUGUGUCUUUUACUGUAACACAGUUUUUAAACAAUCAAACAGGCACAGUCUUGCCUGAUGGCCACUGCCUGGUACGGAGACAUUAAGCACCUAAGCACAUCAAAGAGCCAACAGCGCACCGGCCCCUCUGCUGCCUAAGUCCCUGGCCUUUCCCACCACAGGUUGUUGCAGUUUACCGAGCACCCAGGGGGUCUGGAGCAGCGUUAGACAGUUAUGGUCGGAACAGAGACAGCGGCGGCGACAGCGGGACAGGUCCCGCGUUCAAGUCCUUCCCGGGGGCGGCUCCUCGGCGGAUGUGGAGGAUGUGAACCCGGGCUCCCGAAGGCGAUCCCAAUCCAGUGUGUGCCUCCAGCUCUUUGUGGCUCUUUCCCGUGUUUCUUAGAGUGCGCCCAGGACAAGCGGAAAGGAAGCCACUGCCGUUAAGACCAAGGAGCAAACCCUUCCCGGGCUUUGAAUGCCUCGCCGCUCCCCGACUCUCCGGCUCCCGACCAUUUCUGAGUCCGCGUGGCCUGCGGGGUCAGCGGCCGGUUCAGCGCUCGGAGGCUGCGGGGUGAAAGUCACCCCUCCUCACACCUGCGCUCCCUUCCGGCCUCCACAUCUGUCUCGAGAGGUCGGAGCACGCUGCUUCCUAAGAGCAGCUGUGAGCCUCUCUUCCAGGACCACCCUCCAGGCGAGCGGUGCCUGACUUGAGUGCGUCCUGUCUAGAGCGGCGAGCGACGGGUAUGGGGACGGCUGCGACCGCCCUCGGGAAGCUGCGUCCUGCUCCCACAUACCUGAGGCAGGAGCUCGCAGGCAGGUACCGAGUGCCUGAGCAUAACCCCUGGCUUCAUCCUCUACUAGCC